AUUAAACGCUGGCGGCAUGCCUUACACAUGCAAGUCGAACGGCAGCACGGGUGCUUGCCCCUGGUGGCGAGUGGCGAACGGGUGAGUAAUACAUCGGAACAUGUCCUGUAGUGGGGGAUAGCCCGGCGAAAGCCGGAUUAAUACCGCAUACGAUCUACGGAUGAAAGCGGGGGACCUUCGGGCCUCGCGCUAUAGGGUUGGCCGAUGGCUGAUUAGCUAGUUGGUGGGGUAAAGGCCUACCAAGGCGACGAUCAGUAGCUGGUCUGAGAGGACGACCAGCCACACUGGGACUGAGACACGGCCCAGACUCCUACGGGAGGCAGCAGUGGGGAAUUUUGGACAAUGGGCGAAAGCCUGAUCCAGCAAUGCCGCGUGUGUGAAGAAGGCCUUCGGGUUGUAAAGCACUUUUGUCCGGAAAGAAAUCCUUGGCCCUAAUACGGUCGGGGGAUGACGGUACCGGAAGAAUAAGCACCGGCUAACUACGUG
This 486-nucleotide ribosomal RNA is filed under the name uncultured bacterium. Its description in RNAcentral is "partial 16S ribosomal RNA". It matches the Rfam family "Bacterial small subunit ribosomal RNA", at positions 30 to 507 of the family's 1533-position model. The record is from RNAcentral.